RNAcentral lists this long non-coding RNA (206 nucleotides) under Mytilus galloprovincialis (Mediterranean mussel). The record is from RNAcentral. Lineage: Eukaryota; Metazoa; Mollusca; Bivalvia; Mytilida; Mytilidae.
GCUUUCUGUAUUCUGUUUUUGAUGUCACAACUUCCUCCUCCCUCUUUGUCCACGACUGCUCCCAGGUAUGUGAACUUGUCUACAUCUUCUACUUUCUGGUCGUAUAGUGUUAUCAACCCUUUAUUCUUUGUUUGCUUGGAUCUCAGAGUUUUACACUUUUUGGGGUUAAGUUUCAUUCCAACUCUUUCAGCUUCAGUUGUUAAUUU